GAUGAACGCUGGCGGCGUGCCUAAUACAUGCAAGUCGAGCGAACAGACGAGGAGCUUGCUCCUCUGACGUUAGCGGCGGACGGGUGAGUAACACGUGGAUAACCUACCUAUAAGACUGGGAUAACUUCGGGAAACCGGAGCUAAUACCGGAUAAUAUAUUGAACCGCAUGGUUCAAUAGUGAAAGACGGUUUUGCUGUCACUUAUAGAUGGAUCCGCGCCGCAUUAGCUAGUUGGUAAGGUAACGGCUUACCAAGGCAACGAUGCGUAGCCGACCUGAGAGGGGAAUCGGCAAAACGGGAACGGAGACACGGUCCAAACUCCUACGGAAGGCAGAGGUAGGAAAUUUUCCCAAUGGGCGAAAGCCUGACGGAGCAACGCCGCGUGAGUGAUGAAGGUCUUCGGAUCGUAAAACUCUGUUAUUAGGGAAGAACAAAUGUGUAAGUAACUAUGCACGUCUUGACGGUACCUAAUCAGAAAGCCACGGCUAACUACGUG
RNAcentral lists this ribosomal RNA (496 nucleotides) under uncultured bacterium. RNAcentral's name for it is "partial 16S ribosomal RNA". It matches the Rfam family "Bacterial small subunit ribosomal RNA", at positions 28 to 507 of the family's 1533-position model. The record is from RNAcentral.